GUGAACGCUGGCGGUAUGGAUAAGGCAUGCAAGUCGAAUGGGUUUAGACCCAUGGCAGACGAGGUAGUAACAGGUAGGAACGUCCCCGGAAGUCGGGCAUAACCAGCCGAAAGGUUGGAUAAUUCCCGAUAUUGUCGCGAGAUGAAAGAUUUAUCGCUUCCGGAGCGGCCUGCCUUGUAUCAGCUAGUUGGUGAGGUAACGGCUCACCAAGGCUAUGACGCAUAGGGGACCUGAGAGGGUGACCCCCACCGAUUGAACUGAGACACGGUCAAUACCCCUACGGGGGGCCGCAGCCGAGAAUAUUCGACAAUGGGCGAAAGCCUGAUCGAGCGAUACCGCGUGGUGGAUGAAGUGCUUCGGCACGUAAACAUCUUUUGUCGGGGAAGAAGUCAUUGACUGUACCCGAAGAAUAAGGGGCUCCUAACUCUG
Molecule: ribosomal RNA, 429 nt
Filed under: uncultured bacterium
Lineage: Bacteria
Description: bacterial SSU rRNA
Rfam family: Bacterial small subunit ribosomal RNA
Source: RNAcentral